UUCCGGUUGAUCCCGCCAGAGGCUACUGCUAUCGGGGUCCGACUAAGCCAUGCGAGUUGAGAGGGGUAAGCCCUCGGCAUAUUGCUCAGUAACACGCGGAUAACCUGCCCUUGGGUUUGGGAUAACCCCGGGAAACUGGGACUAAUACCGGAUAGAUCAAAGAAACUGGAAUGUUCUCUGAUCGAAAGCUCCGGCGCCCAAGGAUGGGUCUGCGGCCUAUCAGGUAGUAGUGGGUGUAACGUACCUACUAGCCUACGACGGGUAAGGGUUGUGAGAGCAAGAGCCCUGAGAUGGAUUCUGAGACAUGAAUCCAGGCCCUACGGGGUGCAGCAGGCGCGAAAACUUUACACUGCGGGAAACCGCGAUAAGGGGACCCCGAGUGCCAGCACCUAGUGCUGGCUGUCCAGCUGUUCAAAUAACAGUUGUUAGCAAGGGCCGGGCAAGACCGGUGCCAGCCGCCGCGGUAACACCGGCGGCCCGAGUGGUAGCCGUUAUUAUUGGGUUUAAAGGGUCCGUAGCCGGCCUAUUAAGUCUCUUGGGAAAUCUGGCGACUCAAUCGUCAGGCGUUCAAGAGAUACUGGUAGGCUUGGGACCGGGAGAGGUGGGAGGUACUCCAGGGGUAGGGGUGAAAUCUCGUAAUCCUUGGGGGACCACCGAUGGCGAAGGCAUCCCACCAGAACGGGUCCGACGGUGAGGGACGAAAGCUGGGGGCACGAACCGGAUUAGAUACCCGGGUAGUCCCAGCCGUAAACGAUGCUCGCUAGGUGUCAGGUGCGGUGCGACCGCAUCUGGUGCCGCAGUGAAAACUUGAAGCGAGUCACCUGGGAAGUACGGUCGCAAGGCUGAAACUUAAAGGAAUUGGCGGGGGAGCACUACAACGGGUGGAGCCUGCGGUUUAAUUGGAUUCAACGCCGGG
This 916-nucleotide ribosomal RNA is filed under the name uncultured archaeon. RNAcentral describes it as "bacterial SSU rRNA". It matches the Rfam family "Archaeal small subunit ribosomal RNA", at positions 1 to 922 of the family's 1478-position model. The record is from RNAcentral.